This 1613-nucleotide long non-coding RNA is filed under the name Homo sapiens (human). RNAcentral describes it as "HSALNT0293867". Lineage: Eukaryota; Metazoa; Chordata; Mammalia; Primates; Hominidae. The record is from RNAcentral.
GGCUGCCGCCCUUCCCCCACCCACGCCGGCGGGAGCCGCCCGUUCGCGCUGCCAGCAGCUUCCGCCUGCUACGGUCCUGGCAAGCACCUCGGGAUCCCAUUCCUUCACAGGGACCCUAGCCAGUUAAAGCUGAUACAUUCCUGUGGGUCAACUAUGCAACUAACUCAGAUUUUGAGCAAACAAAGCUCUCAAGUUGGUGAUCCUCAGGAGUCUCUGCAUUAGUUGGACAGCUCUUCUGGAAUUAUCUUCUAAGUCAACUGUGGGUUGGGUAGGUGGCUCUGCUGAUUUUUCGCUGGACUUCCACAUUUGGGACGAGUUGGCUGUCAUCAGCUCUAGAAAGGGUGUGGCCGUUUUACAUUGGCUGUUUUCCUCACAUUCCUCAAGCAGGUAAGCUUAAUCAUGUUCUCAUAUUGAAGCAGAAACUGUUUACUCAUUUAUCUAUUUACUUACUGGGUCUCCUGGGCACUAGGUACUGUAAUAAAGAACUGGAGAAAUACAGUCAGAUGGGAAGUAGCCCUUGCUGUCAAGGAGCUUGCCAUCUAAUGGGGGAGACAGGCAAGUAAACCAAAGACUACACAGUGCAGUAUGGUAAGUGCCAUGAUUUUGAUGUGACAGGGCACAGUGGACGACCUUCCAAAUCAAAGCAAGUAACUAGGGGUUGACAAUGGUAAGUAUCAUAGUUGAAGUAUCCUUGAACAAGGUUUCAGGAAGAAGAAGAAGGGAAUUUCAUGCAGGGAAACAGCCAAAGCUCAGUGAGUCAAAAUAUCACAGCAUUCUUGGUAAGCCCAAUUGUUUUUUCUGUUUUGCUAUUUUGGUGGAGAGAAAGGAACACAUAAAGGAAUAACAUGAGAGAAGGCUAUUUGGGGAAGUGUAGUAGUUAAGGUUCUGGCUCAAACAACAACUGCAGCUCAUAAAGUUGACUUUAGUGGAAGGAUACUGGGGUAUCUCAUGGAAUCUUGGGAACUGUUGAAUAACCAGGGAAACUCUGGGAAACUCACUGGUAGGAAUCCAUAAACUGUCCUCCUGGUGGGCUGUAAACAACUCACCCUCUAUGCAUCUCACAUCAAAAUUCCAGUUUCUUGGGAAAACAAGUCUGUUUGCCCAAUUUGGGUCAUAUUUCCACGUCCAUGUUACUCAGGCAUGAUUCAUCUGCAAGUUAUGUGUAUAGAUAUUUUGCUACUGUUCCACCCUUACGCUGUGCUGGGGAGGGAGGUGUCACUGUGAGCUGUGUCGGUGCCUUAAGAGAUAUCUGUUGUGUCUUAUUACUUGGUUGCUUUUCCCCACAUGUACAAUGACAAAAAUGCCUUCAACCUAUUUGAUCCAGCCGUUCCAGUACAACUCCUAUACUUGCCAUCUUUCCAAGCCCAAAGGUACAUCCAGCUGAUGGAAGGAGCAUCUUGGUGUUAAUAUUCUUUUAGUCAUGGUCUCUGAAAGUAAAAUGUCUAUUCUUCUAAUUCUGGCACAAUCUUAUCUAGCUAUAGUUCCUCAUGGUCCUGCACUCCAUGGACUAAAUUGUAAGUAUAAUUACUACCAAUGUACUCUAUAAAUAACUUUUGGGGCCAGGGUGGCAAUAGUUGCUAGAGAGAAAAAAAAAAAAAAGGAAGGAGAAGAAA